UACGUAGGCAGCGAGCGUUGUUCGGAGUUACUGGGCGUAAAGGGUGUGUAGGCGGUUGUUUAAGUUUGGUGUGAAAUCUCCCGGCUCAACUGGGAGGGUGCGCCGAAUACUGAAUGACUAGAGUGCGGGAGAGGUGAGUGGAAUUCCUGGUGUAGCGGUGAAAUGCGUAGAUAUCAGGAGGAACACCGGUGGUGUAGACGGCUCACUGGACCGUAACUGACGCUGAUGCGCGAAAGCGUGGGGAGCAAACGGG
Molecule: ribosomal RNA, 253 nt
Filed under: uncultured bacterium
Lineage: Bacteria
Description: partial 16S ribosomal RNA
Rfam family: Bacterial small subunit ribosomal RNA
Source: RNAcentral